RNAcentral lists this ribosomal RNA (501 nucleotides) under uncultured bacterium. RNAcentral describes it as "bacterial SSU rRNA". It matches the Rfam family "Bacterial small subunit ribosomal RNA", at positions 30 to 526 of the family's 1533-position model. The record is from RNAcentral.
AUUGAACGCUGGCGGCAUGCCUUACACAUGCAAGUCGAACGGUAACAGGCCGCAAGGUGCUGACGAGUGGCGAACGGGUGAGUAAUGUAUCGGAACGUGCCCAGUCGUGGGGGAUAACUGCUCGAAAGAGCAGCUAAUACCGCAUACGACCUGAGGGUGAAAGCGGGGGACCGUAAGGCCUCGCGCGAUUGGAGCGGCCGAUAUCAGAUUAGGUAGUUGGUGAGGUAAAGGCUCACCAAGCCGACGAUCUGUAGCUGGUCUGAGAGGACGACCAGCCACACUGGGACUGAGACACGGCCCAGACUCCUACGGGAGGCAGCAGUGAGGAAUUUUGGACAAUGGACGCAAGUCUGAUCCAGCCAUGCCGCGUGCGGGAAGAAGGCCUUCGGGUUGUAAACCGCUUUUGUCAGGGAAGAAAAGGUUCCUCCUAAUAAAGGGGACUCAUGACGGUACCUGAAGAAUAAGCACCGGCUAACUACGUGCCAGCCGCCGCAGUAACAC